RNAcentral lists this long non-coding RNA (1299 nucleotides) under Vulpes vulpes (red fox). Its description in RNAcentral is "lncRNA (ENSVVUG00000027112.1)". Lineage: Eukaryota; Metazoa; Chordata; Mammalia; Carnivora; Canidae. The record is from RNAcentral.
GGAUCCUUCGGGAUCCCUGGGCUGGUCUCUCGUGGCGCCAGGGGCCACAACGGUCACCAGACGGAGCCUGGCCGUUCCUUUACCCAGCCCCACGGAGGAUGGAGGGACAGCCUGGCCCGGGCUGCGGGCUUGAGAUCACGGUGGGGCCCCCUCGGGGACUGUGUUGUCUCCGAGGAAUUGGGGUCACUUGCAAGGUUGUCAGGGCCCAUCCUGGGGGUGGCGGUGACGCUGGAGGCCACUGGGGGCCACCGCUGCUGCGUGGCUGGGGUCCCAUCAGCUGGCCCUGACUCAGCCCUGAUCCUGCCCCUGUGCGCUCCCCGAGAUCCAGCGGCCCCCAGGGGAUGGGGCGGGUGUGGGUGUCGGCCGGGCCGCAGGGGGCCGAGCCCUCUCCAAGGUCCUGAACCUGCACCUCGCCCUGGGCCCCGCCUGCAUUCUCCUGACCCUGUAACCUGCCCUGGUUCAGGCCCCGCCACCUCGGGGUGCGGGUGGCAGGGCCCAGCCCACGCGUGUCUUGGGGUCUGCAGGAGGGGCCCUACUCUCGGGAAAGCUGGCCUCCCCAGCCCUUCACCUGGACGGCUUGACCCCGAAGACUUGGCAGGAAGGGGGGGGUGGCCCCAGCAGGGGGCAGGGCCCGGGACACCAUCCACCCGCACCUGCCCCGGGAACCACUGCACACCCAGCGUCCAGGGCCUGGGACCGUGGCUGUCGGGGUGGGUGGCGCCAAGGCUGCACGGCCCACGUCCUGAGCCGCUGCCCUCCCUGGGCUCCAGGCCCCCCCCACGACCUGGAGCCCCCUCUGGCCCGUGGCAGGUGAGCUUCGUCGUUCUGCGCCCCAGCCCUGGAACAAGCUCAGCCCCAGGCUCGGGGUGGACGCUGCUCCCGGGUCUCCCCACCCAGGGGUGUGAGGCAGAGGCUCAGCCUGCGUGGGCCGCACGCCCGGGUGUCCGUGGAAGGAAGACGUGGCGGCCGCUUGCGGGCCGUGACCCACGCAGCUGUCCUCCCUCGAGCCCGCAGCUGCCCCUGCGGAGUAGCGGCCACCCCGGACCCAGCAGGGCCACCACCGCGGCCGAGGGCGCUGACCCCAGGGGCUCCGCGCCCUGCCACCCUGUCCCUCGGCCCCAGGAGCCCAGCCGGGCGGAGGGAGGGGAGCGGCGGCCCCCAGGGGGUCGGGCAGAGCCGGCGCAGAAGGUGCCCAUAGCAGGUCUCCCUGCGGCCCUGGCUUUCAGGCCAGCCUCCCCGAAGGGGGCGCACAGGGGCCGACGCCCCACAGCCCGCGGGCGCGGUGUAGACACAGGCUGA